AUACGUAGGGGGCAAGCGUUAUCCGGAUUUACUGGGUGUAAAGGGAGUGUAGACGGCAUGGCAAGUCUGAAGUGAAAACCCAGGGCUCAACCCUGGGACUGCUUUGGAAACUGUCAAGCUAGAGUGCAGGAGAGGUAAGUGGAAUUCCUAGUGUAGCGGUGAAAUGCGUAGAUAUUAGGAGGAACACCAGUGGUGAAGGCGGCUUACUGGACUGUAACUGACGUUGAGGCUCGAAAGCGUGGGGAGCAAACAGGAUUAGAUACCCUGGUAGUCCACGCCGUAAACGAUGAGUGCUAGGUGUUGGGGGGCAAAGCCCUUCGGUGCCGUCGCAAACGCAAUAAGCACUCCACCUGGGGAGUACGUUCGCAAGAAUGAAACUCAAAGGAAUUGACGGGG
Molecule: ribosomal RNA, 396 nt
Filed under: uncultured bacterium
Lineage: Bacteria
Description: partial 16S ribosomal RNA
Rfam family: Bacterial small subunit ribosomal RNA
Source: RNAcentral